This is a long non-coding RNA of Nylanderia fulva, 1347 nucleotides long. RefSeq lists it as uncharacterized. NCBI's taxonomy places the organism in Eukaryota, Metazoa, Arthropoda, Insecta, Hymenoptera, Formicidae. The record is from RefSeq and is a predicted model, not a curated record.
GGUGUUGUUUGCUUCCAGCGUGCACAACAUAAGACGGAUCCAUAUUAUGCACAGCUAGACAUACAAUAGGAUUCUUCAACUUCUCCCCUUCCAGAGACCCAAAAGCCCGUCCCUUGACCAAUAGAAAAAUGUCACGUAUUCGGAAAAUGCGCAGGAUCUCAUAGUUCACAGACCUAGGACAGAUGUAGAACAGUGUCAUACUAAUAUAGUAACAUAUUGCGACGGAAAUAAGUAUAUGGUGUAGAAAUAUAUCACAUUAAGAAGGACAAUAAAUCAACUUCCUUCAUUUGUGAUAACAACUUUGACUAGGCCAAUCGAUUCACUUCGAGAAAAUAUUGCGAGGUGAAUAAAAAAUCUUCAAAUACAACCGAAUAUUCUCUUCAGUGGUGUACAAGGAGACAUCGCAUAUCGACGAUGGCGGCACCAGAAGAGCACUGGAUAAUGAAAUAUUUUACGAUGGAGACCGUACGUGCAAGAUGCGGUGCUUGUGGUAUAAAACUUCGUGUUUUCGGAACCUUAAACCAUUUCGUGGACCAUAUAAAGAAGGAACACGAACAACAGUACAUCAAUUGCUUCAAUCAAGGAUUCGACGACCUGGAAAUGGUGUUUCGUUCUUUCUUUUACAUAACAGAAAAUACUAAUGCAAAGUGUUUCUUGUGUAAUACCGUAUAUCGUGUGUCGGAAACCGCUCUGAAUCAAUUAAGAGCUCAUUUAACAUCUGCACACUGGGAACAAUAAAAUAUGUUAUAUAAACAUUAUAAAUCAAUAGAAUGGACCGCGAUAUGCAAAUUGCAAAUAUAUGUUAUAAGCAAAUAAAAGAGAAAGUUAUUGUGAAUUUUAACGAUAAACAAGUCAUCAAGUUAAAGAUUCGGCAACGUGGACCCGAGUUUCAAAAGAAAUAUCGAGGCUAAUGCUUUAUCAGGUCAUUAUUUCGUUUCGAAAGGAACAAGAACUGAAAAAAGUUAAGAUAUACAGACAAGACAAGAAGCUUACACAGAUGCAACAUCGUCCAGUCGCCAGCUUGCGACUGUGGAGCUCCCGUCCAGGACAUUGAUCACAUCCUCUGGUCGUGCACCCUCUACGAGCGGCACCGUCCCGAAUUACUGAGAGCUAUCCGUUCUAGUACAAAAUCUAUUCCGCUAUAUAAGACUCACAUUCUCCUGGGACCCCUUGGAAGUGAUCCUUCCGAUCUUGGCCUUCCUAAACAAAAACCAGCUAAAAAUCAAAGGCUACAACUCGAAAAAAAAGGAAUAUCUCACAACCUGUGUGGCAGUUCUAUCUGGCAGCAUGAUCUAAAUCUUUGCCAUACAAAGGAAGAAGAAGAAUGUAAUAUAUUAAAAAUAUAAA